AAGCGUUGCUUCUCUGAUGUUAGCGGCGGACGGGUGAGUAACACGUGGGUAACCUACCUAUAAGACUGGGAUAACUCCGGGAAACCGGGGCUAAUACCGGAUAAUAUUUUGAACCGCAUGGUUCAAUAGUGAAAGACGGUUUCGGCUGUCACUUAUAGAUGGACCCGCGCCGUAUUAGCUAGUUGGUAAGGUAACGGCUUACCAAGGCGACGAUACGUAGCCGACCUGAGAGGGUGAUCGGCCACACUGGAACUGAGACACGGUCCAGACUCCUACGGGAGGCAGCAGUAGGGAAUCUUCCGCAAUGGGCGAAAGCCUGACGGAGCAACGCCGCGUGAGUGAUGAAGGUCUUCGGAUCGUAAAACUCUGUUGUUAGGGAAGAACAAAUUUGUUAGUAACUGAACAAGUCUUGACGGUACCUAACCAGAAAGCCACGGCUAACUACGUGCCAGCAGCCGCGGUAAUACGUAGGUGGCAAGCGUUAUCCGGAAUUAUUGGGCGUAAAGCGCGCGUAGGCGGUUUCUUAAGUCUGAUGUGAAAGCCCACGGCUCAACCGUGGAGGGUCAUUGGAAACUGGGAAACUUGAGUGCAGAAGAGGAGAGUGGAAUUCCAUGUGUAGCGGGUGAAAUGCGCAGAGAUAUGGAGGAACACCAGUGGCGAAAGGCGGCUCUCUGGUCUGUAACUGACGCUGAUGUGCGAAAGCGUGGGGAUCAAACAGGAUUAGAUACCCUGGGUAG
Molecule: ribosomal RNA, 737 nt
Filed under: Mammaliicoccus lentus
Lineage: Bacteria; Bacillati; Bacillota; Bacilli; Caryophanales; Staphylococcaceae
Description: bacterial SSU rRNA
Rfam family: Bacterial small subunit ribosomal RNA
Source: RNAcentral